UACGAAGGGGGCAAGCGAUGUUCGGAAUUACUGGGCGUAAAGCGCACGCAGGCGGAUCGUUAAGUCAGGGGUGAAAUCCCGGGGCUCAACCUCGGAAUUGCCUUCGAUACUGACGGUCUCGAGUGCGGGAGAGGUGAGUGGAAUUCCUAGUGUAGAGGUGAAAUUCGUAGAUAUUAGGAAGAACACCAGUGGCGAAGGCGGCUCACUGGCCCGGUACUGACGAUCAGGUGCGAAAGCGUGGGGAGCAAACAGG
RNAcentral lists this ribosomal RNA (253 nucleotides) under uncultured bacterium. Its description in RNAcentral is "partial 16S ribosomal RNA". It matches the Rfam family "Bacterial small subunit ribosomal RNA", at positions 524 to 776 of the family's 1533-position model. The record is from RNAcentral.